RNAcentral lists this long non-coding RNA (2147 nucleotides) under Gallus gallus (chicken). The record is from RNAcentral. Lineage: Eukaryota; Metazoa; Chordata; Aves; Galliformes; Phasianidae.
CUGCACCCCCUUUAAUACUAAGCAAUCCUAUUUCCAGCACAGUUAUGUCAGCACAGGUAUCCUGAAUAAGACUGUUGAGAAACAUGUUCUGUGCACCAACAAAAAUGCAGUGCAUGUCCUUUGGGUAAUAUUCUUUUUCUUCUAGUUCAGGUUCACAGAGACCCUUAAUAUACUCCUUGGCGCUCCGCACGGCCUUCCCGCCGCCCGCCAGCUGCACCCAGAUCCUGGCGGCGGGCGGCGGCUGUCCCGGCGGCGGGAGGGCGGGCCGCCAGUCCCCCUGAGCCUCCAGGACGGCCAGCCGCACCUCGAACAGGCCCUGGAUGCGGCCCCGGCUGCCCUCCAGGAAGCGGCGUUUCUCGGCCGGGACGGUGAAUUCGUCCAGGCCCGGCCCGGGGCCGUGGGCCGCCCAGCGAGCCGCCAUCAGCGCCAGCCGCGCCGGGCCGCGCUCCGGCCUCCCAUCCCGCCGGGCCGCAGGACAACAACACGGGGAAUCCCCGGGCUCCCUUCACUCGGUGCGUGCGUCAUCAGCCCGCGACGGCAGCACCGCCUCACCAGGAAGUGGGCCGUGCCCCCUCCGCGCCCAGGCGCCAUCUUUGCCGAGGGCGGCCACGGCUCCUCUGGUUUUGUCAGGCAACGCCCCGCCUUUACCACGUGGUGUGCGGUUUCUUGCUGAGCUCUGAGCCGAGCUGGGGUCUAGCGAGGCGGCUUCUCCUUGUAUUAUUAUUUUUUUUUACCGUCUAGUACUCGCUGCGGACGGAAUAGUGCUGUGGCGUGAGGUGAGGAGGCGCCUUAGUGCCGCGCGCCACCACCACAGAGCCGGCAGCACGGAGCAGCCAGCGCCAUGUGCAGCCUUCACCAUGUGCAGCCUUCACGGGGACGGCCCCGAGGGAGGGCGCGGGAGGGGCUCCGCGCAGCGAGGGAAUUUCGUUCCCCUGUGCGCUUCCGCGGCUCGGAGGCUUUGUGUGAGCCCCCCUUAGUGGUUUCAGCAGUGUUCUGGUGUCAUCGUGGUGGAUUUCGUUCAGAAAAAAAAAAAAAUCAUUAAAAAAAAGUAAGUUUUAUCCCUUGUGAUCGUAAAGGGAGAAAUGUCCCACCAGUGGGGGUAGCUCUGAGGCUCUGCCAGGUUCUUGAAUAGCUGCAGUUGUCAGUACGGAGCAACUGCUGUACAAAAGAGUAAAUAUUUUGAGUCUUUCUCAUUUCCUAACCUGACCACAACGAACAUCCUCCAAAUUCUCGCUAUUUGAUCCCCCCUGGGUUUCAUCCAUCUCUCAGGUGUUGCUGUGGUGUUGGUUUUUCACAGCUGUUCAUUAAAUGCAUCCUCCAGAGGGAGAGUGAAUAUCUUUUGCAUCUAAACGUCCCUAUUUUGUUCCUUUAACACACGACCUUACAGUGGGAGAGGGUAAAUACAAAGUAUCGUUUUGAUAAAGGCACUGUUUGUCUAUUUAGAAACAACUGAACUGCGUGACAGAUUGCAGUCCGAGCCUAUCUGAAGGUCACACCAAACACGCACAGCUGUAUACUUUUUGCUCUCUGAAUUUACAGCGUUAUAUCUUUGAGUGCAAUGUAAUUGUUGCUGUAGUUAAAUGGGGCGAGUUACACUUGUGCACACAGCAUUUACACACACCCAUGUGUUCUGAAACAGGAUAUGGUUCUAAUGUCGAUAUUAUAUUUGAGAAAGGUGAUCGAUUUUCCCAAAGAUAUAUUUUAUUUUUUCAAAAAACAAUCCCCUUAUUUGUAGAUUAAACGCUUAUUUGCUUUCCCAUCAGUUAAAUUACGUUCUAACAUACACAUUGGGUUGCUGGGCAAUUUCUGGAGGUGGUUGGUGCCAUCGGCUGUUACAACGUGGUCACUGCAGCCAUUGCUGCAUUACAGCCUCUGUUAACCAUAAAUGGAAUUGCAAGCAAGAAACUUUACAUUAAAAAUGAAACGAUAAGCAACUUUGAGGUACAAAAUAAAAUUAAAAAGCUGAAGUAAGAUGCUUUUACUUCUUUUCUCACGUCAACACUGCUUUUUGGAAUGCCCCAGGAUAGCUGAAAAUGUACUGGUUUCUAAAUAAAGUGGAUAAUGGUUGGUGCUCUUUAUAUAGAUGGAGUAUUUUGCCAUAUAUAUGUUAUAAAACUUGCUCUUACUGCAGAGUUUAUUGUAGUCUG